This 1373-nucleotide long non-coding RNA is filed under the name Fukomys damarensis (Damara mole-rat). Its description in RNAcentral is "lncRNA (ENSFDAG00000031184.1)". Lineage: Eukaryota; Metazoa; Chordata; Mammalia; Rodentia; Bathyergidae. The record is from RNAcentral.
GGCACAGGGGCCGCGCUCAGGGACCCCCAGCACCAUGAAGUGCAGCCAUGGAUGCGUCCCUGGCUCGUUCUCUGUGGGCUCCUCAAAGAGGAAGUAGCUGGAUUCCAUGUUAUUUGGUGGAAGGGAGUUGGUGUUCAACACUUCCCUUGGCCAGAGUAAUGUGUCAGCCGGCAUCGCGCAUGCCUAGACGCCCACACGCUUCACUCUGCUUGUGCCAAUCCUCUAAGAAGUAAAACCUGGAGAGCAAAAGCUUCUUUAACAGCUGUGGAGGGCACGGGAGCCCCCUAAGGACUAACCCAACACAGAGCGUGCGUGAGGGCCUCCCACACUCUCCCCAUAGUCCAGAGUCACUCACCAAUGGAAACCUAAUGCGAGAGGCGCAUGCAUAAAAAUGUAAGAAAAAGCAGAUGAGUGCUGGGAAUGGAACAAGGGAAGAGCUCACCAUGGAGCCUGGAAGCUGUGCGUCUCUGGGACUGCAGCUCAUCCUAGCUGGGACUCCUCUUGCCCAGACACUGCAUCUGGCCUAUGACUGGAAGCCACAAGGAUCAGCAACCAACCAGCUCAUCCAUCACUCCUGGGGGCAGGCGCUUCCUACACACCCCCUCCAGAUCCUCACUGAGCCCAGGCCUGAGAGCCAGCAUCUCACAGGGGAAACUGAGGCACUGCACUGUGAGGAAGGCCACUCUGUUAGAGGAGGGGCAUCAGCACUGUGUCCUGGGGUGAGAAAGCUAGGAUCGUUGUUGGGAAAAAAAAAACCCAAUCAAGCAAAGGACCAGGAUGUAUUUAUUCACUGUUGUUACACUUGUUAAAAUGUAGCUAGCUCACUUAAAAACAAACAAACCUGUUUGGUUCUCCAGUCCUUAUUUAUACAGGGGGACAGGGCAACAUAGAUACAAUAAAGCAGACAUUUUGUUGAGUCUUAAGAGGUCAAACAUUUGAAAAUGUGUAUUUCAUAAUUGGGGUCUCUAUGCCAUAAUUCACUGGUUCUCUUGCUUUGCCAACUUGAGGGUGCUGUAGACUCUGUGAACUCAACCUUUAAGCAAUUAUGGGGCUUGGUUAGAAGAUGCUGUGGGGGUGGUGCUGCCUGGACAAGGAAAUAAAGCAGCUGGAGCAGUGUCUGUCCGACUGGGCUCAGUCCACGGCCCAGGGACCGGGGCUUGAAACCCUCGUUUGCCUCCCCUGCUCUGGAGCCUCCAUAGCCCUUUGUCAAAGGAGAAAGUCAGGCAAAGAGCUCAGGUAGCUCUGAGCCAGUUCACUCACUGAACAAGUAUUUAUUAUGCAUCUGCUGUAUGUCAGGCAUUGACACAGGGACAGAUGACUGUAAAGUUCAAGAAAUCAUUGUUUUAUGACCCAUGUGAGCCAUUCAAGAGUAA